AGAUUGAACGCUGGCGGCAUGCCUAACACAUGCAAGUCGAACGGGAGUAGCAAUACUCUAGCGGCGGACGGGUGAGGAAUACGUAGGAAUUUGCCCUUAAGUGGGGGAUAACCCGGGGAAACCCGGAUUAAUACCGCAUGACCUCGAAAGAGCAAAGUGGGGGAUCGCAAGACCUCACGCUUUUGGAGAAGCCUACGUCGGAUUAGCUAGUUGGUGAGGUAAUGGCUCACCAAGGCGACGAUCCGUAACUGGUCUGAGAGGAUGAUCAGUCACACCGGAACUGAGACACGGUCCGGACUCCUACGGGAGGCAGCAGUGGGGAAUAUUGGACAAUGGGCGCAAGCCUGAUCCAGCAAUGCCGCGUGUGUGAAGAAGGCCUUGGUUGUAAGC
RNAcentral lists this ribosomal RNA (390 nucleotides) under uncultured soil bacterium. Its description in RNAcentral is "bacterial SSU rRNA". It matches the Rfam family "Bacterial small subunit ribosomal RNA", at positions 26 to 431 of the family's 1533-position model. The record is from RNAcentral.